Long non-coding RNA from Panicum virgatum (switchgrass), 2748 nucleotides. RefSeq lists it as uncharacterized. NCBI's taxonomy places the organism in Eukaryota, Viridiplantae, Streptophyta, Magnoliopsida, Poales, Poaceae. The record is from RefSeq and is a predicted model, not a curated record. The transcript has 4 exons.
CCCUCUCUCAGCUAUUCGUUUUGCUGAUUUGCAGCCACCUGGCAGUUCUUGUUCUCUCAUUUCCAUGCUAAAUCUCUUUCUUUUAGGUUCCCAGCGAAGUGAUUGAUAUAAAAAAUUCCAUCCAUCCUCCACAAACUGCCCAUCACCAAAAAAAAAAGCAUCUGAUUGUUUUCCCACUAGUCUUGUUCUUUCAUACCUAGAAUUACACCUUUUAAUCAGCACCUCUAGUAAAAAAAAUCAUAAAUUUUAUUUUUUGCUGCUUCCUUUUUAUUUUAAUCUGAACUUUUAUGUUGUUUUAUCACUUUUCUUUUACCUAAUGUUGUUUUGCGCCCUUUCUUUCCAUAGUGAUCAAUUGGAAAAAGUAAAAAAAAAUUGUUGUGCUUCUUCAUGAUUAUUUAUGCCUUUCUUGGUUAUUGAAUCUUACAAAAUGUAAUUGCUUUCUUCCUUCAUUGAAGCAAUUAAUUGCAUCUUCUAGCGACAAAUCGAUGUACCAAAAAGAAUUAUAUGAUUCCACCCCCUUCAAACUGAAACCCAGCAAAGUCAACUAGAUCAUAUCUUGUCAUCCACACAACAUCAACAAAAUUUUGCUGCAGAAUUGGAGAGACAACAUAUAUUGGCAACCUUCAACUUAAAUGUUGCUUUCUUGGUGAAUGACACACAAAGUUAGUACUGGAAAUUUCACUGUAAACAACACCCCAAAGGCUAAACCAGAGGUUCCCUGUAAACUGAGAAUUUGGGUCCAGUACUGAACAUAAGUCAUGUCGGCAUCAUCUUCGUCUGACAUGUCAUCGACGGAAUGGUGUCAUGACCUACAAGAUAUCAUCUUUGACAUGCCAUUGACGGAAUGGCAUCAUUACCUGCAAGAUAUCAAUUUCUGGCUGAAUGGAUAUCUCAACAGCCCUGCGUAUCAUAACUUGGAAGAAAAACUUGUCCAGUAUUACGUGCAGUGGAAUGUUGGAGUCGGUCCCGCAGCAUGUUUCACUCGAGCUAUAUCGAGCAUCACUCGGGAUGUACAUAUCAGGAAGCAUGGUCCCUUCGACCAUGUAAUAGAGGUGGACAUGAAGCAUGCAGCAGCAGUGCUGGGAAAUCGGUUCAAUAUUAAUGACAUGCUGCAUAUCAAAGUGGCAGAGCAGCUCGGGCUACUCGAACAUAAAUACGACAUGGUAGACAUGGGAGAAGAAGCAGGAUGACCGUGUCUCACCCCUGGAGCUAAAAUCCAUAGCUCUUCAAAUAAUGCAAAAUCUGCUGACCAAGAAGUACCUGCUGGUGGUUCACAAUCUCGACAGGCCAAUAAAGCCCAUCGUGCUUGAAGAUACGACAGAGGGCUUAUGGCUUCCUGCCCCUUGGUGGAAACAUUCUUUCUGGAUCGUAUCCACCACCUCCCAAGAUGUCUAUGACAGGAGCAACAAGCCAGAUGAGCCUCGCGUCAUCGAAUCCUUUGCUGGGGAUGAUAUAUUGAUUCUCACACUGCAUUCCCUGGAACAAGCGGCCAAGUACAUCUCUGUUGCGGUUGGCCAUGGAGAGGAGAAGUAUUGGCAUCAUGUGGCAGUCCAGUGCUUUCACUACGCCACCAUGCUGCUGCUUAUUCCCUGCAGUUCCAAUGUUGACCCGCCAAAGUGUGAUGCCCAGGCUGAUGUUAGCUCAGAUGUGUUGAUCCGCCAGUGGGCUGCUCAAGGCAUCCUUCCUGUCAUGAAGCCAAGUGUCCAAGAAAAAAUGGGGGAGGACACUGACGGCUACCACUGUCAGUACUAUGGUGAUGAUAUAUAUCAACUUGGAAAUGUCAUCCUCGAGGCUUUUCGGGAGUAUUCGUUGCUGCUAGCUGCCUUUUUCUCCUGCAACGAAAGAUGAUGAAGCCACAAUAUCUGCUGCACACUUCCUAGCAUAUCAUAGCCUUGUUGUAGAGCCCCUCACAUCCGAUGAACUCUGUGAGGGAAAUCACUCUCAGUUGGAGCACAUGCAGUGGAUCUCACAUGUGGGCGACCAAGGAUGGCAUGUAAGCAGAGAUUGGUUGAGCCAGGGGUCCAGCGGCCCGACCACACUUAUUAUAAGGCAUUGCUCGCAACACUCGAGGUUGUUCAUGAAGCUUGAAUCUGAUGAUUUCUUGGCCAAGCUCCCUUGUCUUCGUGUUCUUGAUAUUUCCUACACUCCGAUAGAGUCGCUUCCUCCUUCAAUCUGUUGUCUCCAAAAACUCCAAUUGCUUUCCCUUAGAGGCUGCUAUAACCUCAGAAGUCCAUUCAGCUUCCCAGAUACUGAAAUUACUCUCUGUGCAAACAACAGCAACAAAAAGCUCAACUUGCUCUAUCUCGAUCUCUCCUAUUCAAAUAUAAGCACAUUCCAGUGCGACUUCUUCCAUAGCAUUCCUACUCUAAAAGAGCUUCUGCUUGUCAAAUGCUCCAACCUUGAGGAGCUGCCACUUCUCGGCUCUUGCAUUGUCUACUCUAACAAAACUCGAGAUAAUAGACAACAAGAAAUUCAUUUCAUUCUCGAGAUUAACAGAGAUGGCAUUUGAUGGGCAUGGCACCCUUCAUUCAUUCUCAUUGGUUGGUACACCACAUAUAAAGCGAUUGUCAUUGCACGGAUGUAGUAAGCUAGAAUCCGUGGACAUUAAGGAAGUUGAUGCUUUGGAGGAGCUCGAUCUAUCUGCUACGGCUAUCAAGGAGCUACCAGACAACAUCCCUAAUCUGCCCCAGCUUAGGCGAUUGCUUCUCAGGGGCGUUCCUUCCCUGAGACGAUUCCCUUGGCAUAAGC